Molecule: long non-coding RNA, 1552 nt
Filed under: Homo sapiens (human)
Lineage: Eukaryota; Metazoa; Chordata; Mammalia; Primates; Hominidae
Description: non-protein coding TMEM9B-AS1:14
Source: RNAcentral
AGUCCUGGUGCCCGCCUUGGCCUAGCCCCGGCCCCGGGACGGAAGGGGGCCUCUGGGGUGGCAGCCUGGGCCCAGUAGAGCUUUGCAUCUCUUGGAUAUCUUUCCCGGGCGCAGAAGCUGCGGGGCUUAGGGAGUCGCCAUUGCGCUGGAAAGUCCUCCCGCCCACGGAGACCCCAGCAAACUCCGAGUGUCACACAGUCGCCUCUGGCGACCCGUGCGGGCCGGAGCCGUUCGCGCACAGGCAGGGCGGGUGCUGAGCGUGGAAACGGGGCUGGAAUUGGCCGAGCCAUGCCUUUCCGGGAUGCCCACCGCCAGUCAAAGGGUUGGGGGUGGUCUCUGCACCUUAAGUACUAACCUGCCGCCCACGCGCCUCCUGACCACAGCACCCCGUCGGCUUUCUAAUUCUGUGAGCUGCCCUCGUGGGCGUGGCCUCCCUGUGGAGCUCCCCAUGUGCCUCCCCUUGGUCCAGCCUGCAGCUAGGAAGUGGGUCACAGCGACGGGGCUGGGCUGGGCCAGGCCAGGCUCCGGGAGAUGUGGAAUUGGCGAAACAACUGCCCCAGUAGUAUCCUCCGCCUAGGACUCCAAGAGGUGGCGAAUUGGGGCACUACGCCCGGGAACCAGGGUGGCAGGGCUAGAUGUCCUCUCACCAGACUGCCCAGUGAAGGUGCUGUCACUUUGAUGAAUUAUCAAGGCUUUGUAGUGGGUCUUCUACUGGACAAAGGACAAACUGGAGACUCCCUGGAUCAAAUGUGUUGAAAAUGUUAUAGUGCUGUCAGGAAGUGCUGUUCUGGAAUACAGAAUGUGGCUGCCGUGAGUGGAGUGUGACUAUGAGAUAGUCGCCUGACUGGAGACAAUGAAGCCUCAGGCCAAGGAUGCUCCCUCCUACUCAGCCCUGUUUAGUGGGAUUUUUCAGCCCACUGUAAAGCCUACUGCUGCCUGUAAAGCCACCUAAGUGCAUCACUUGCUGGUGUUCACCAUGAUAACAACAAUUUAUGGGGACAGAAUAUGUUUCUAGAGCUGCUGGUGCCACUGCUGAUGUUACUGGGUUCCCUGAAAUAAAACACCACAGUGCAGCUGGACGGUACUGCUGCCAUCUCGGCUCACUGCAACCUCCCUGCCUGAUUCUCCUGCCUCAGCCUGCCGAGUGCCUGCGAUUGCAGGCGCGCGCCGCCACGCCUGACUGGUUUUCGUUUUUUUUUUUUUUGGUGGAGACGGGGUUUUGCUGUGUUGGCCGGGCUGGUCUCCAGCUCCUAACCGCGAGUGAUCCGCCAGCCUCGGCCUCCCGAGGUGCCGGGAUUGCAGACGGAGUCUCGUUCACUCAGUGCUCAAUGGUGCCCAGGCUGGAGUGCAGUGGCGUGAUCUUGGCUCGCUACAACCUCCACCUCCCAGCCGCCUGCCUUGGCCCCCCAAAGUGCCGAGAUUGCAGCCUCUGCCCAGCCGCCACCCCGUCUGGGAAGUGAGGAGCGUCUCUGCCUGGCCCCCCAUCGUCUGGGAUAUGAGGAGCCUCUCUGCCUGGCUGCCCAGUCUGGAAAGUGAGGAGCGUCUCUGCCCG